AUUGAACGCUGGCGGCAGGCCUAACACAUGCAAUUCGAACGAGUGGCGGACGGGUGAGUAAUGUCUGGGAAACUGCCUGAUGGAGGGGGAUAACUACUGGAAACUGUAGCUAAUACCGCAUACUAUCGGAUGUGCCCAGAUGGGCUUAGCUAGUAGGUGGGGUAAAGGCUCACCUAGGCGACGAUCCCUAGCUGGUCUGAGAGGAUGCCCCGACACACGGGAACUGAGACACGGUCCAGAGUCCUACGGGAGGCAGCAGUGGGGAAUAUUGCACAAUGGGCGCAAGACUGAUGCAGCCAGGCCGCGUGUAUGAAGAAGGCCUUCGGGUUGUAAAGUACUUUCAGCGGGGAGGCGUUAACCGCAGAAGAAGCACCGGCUAACUCCGUGCCAGCAGCCGCGGUAAUUC
RNAcentral lists this ribosomal RNA (406 nucleotides) under uncultured bacterium. Its description in RNAcentral is "partial 16S ribosomal RNA". It matches the Rfam family "Bacterial small subunit ribosomal RNA", at positions 30 to 526 of the family's 1533-position model. The record is from RNAcentral.